ACAUAUGUGUGUUUGCUAAAAUUGGAACAAUACAGAGAAAAUUAGUAUGCCCCUGCACAAGGAUAAAAUACAGACUCGUGAAGCAUUUCAUUAAAAA
RNAcentral lists this small nuclear RNA (97 nucleotides) under Neotoma lepida (desert woodrat). Lineage: Eukaryota; Metazoa; Chordata; Mammalia; Rodentia; Cricetidae. The record is from RNAcentral.